CCUACGGGAGGCAGCAGUGGGGAAUAUUGGACAAUGGGGGCAACCCUGAUCCAGCCAUGCCGCGUGUGUGAAGAAGGCCCUCGGGUUGUAAAGCACUUUCAGUGAGGAAGAACGCCUGGUGGUUAAUACCCAUCAGGAAAGACAUCACUCACAGAAGAAGCACCGGCUAACUCCGUGCCAGCAGCCGCGGUAAUACGGAGGGUGCGAGCGUUAAUCGGAAUUACUGGGCGUAAAGCGCGCGUAGGUGGCUUGAUAAGCCGGUUGUGAAAGCCCCGGGCUCAACCUGGGAACGGCAUCCGGAACUGUCAAGCUAGAGUGCAGGAGAGGAAGGUAGAAUUCCCGGUGUAGCGGUGAAAUGCGUAGAGAUCGGGAGGAAUACCAGUGGCGAAGGCGGCCUUCUGGACUGAAACUGACACUCAGGUGCGAAAGCGUGGGUAGCAAACAGGAUUAGAUACCCUAGUAGUC
This 465-nucleotide ribosomal RNA is filed under the name Vreelandella stevensii. Its description in RNAcentral is "partial 16S ribosomal RNA". It matches the Rfam family "Bacterial small subunit ribosomal RNA", at positions 338 to 795 of the family's 1533-position model. Lineage: Bacteria; Pseudomonadati; Pseudomonadota; Gammaproteobacteria; Oceanospirillales; Halomonadaceae. The record is from RNAcentral.